RNAcentral lists this ribosomal RNA (897 nucleotides) under Salmonella enterica subsp. enterica serovar Typhimurium. RNAcentral's name for it is "partial 23S ribosomal RNA". It matches the Rfam family "Bacterial large subunit ribosomal RNA", at positions 582 to 1394 of the family's 2925-position model. The record is from RNAcentral. Lineage: Bacteria; Pseudomonadati; Pseudomonadota; Gammaproteobacteria; Enterobacterales; Enterobacteriaceae.
CCCUUCGGGGUGUGACUGCGUACCUUUUGUAUAAUGGGUCAGCGACUUAUAUUCUGUAGCAAGGUUAACCGUAUAGGGGAGCCGGAGGGAAACCGAGUCUUAACCGGGCGUUAAGUUGCAGGGUAUAGACCCGAAACCCGGUGAUCUAGCCAUGGGCAGGUUGAAGGUUGGGUAACACUAACUGGAGGACCGAACCGACUAAUGUUGAAAAAUUAGCGGAUGACCUGUGGCUGGGGGUGAAAGGCCAAUCAAACCGGGAGAUAGCUGGUUCUCCCCGAAAGCUAUUUAGGUAGCGCCUCGUGAAUUCAUCUCCGGGGGUAGAGCACUGUUUCGGCUAGGGGGCCAUCCCGGCUUACCAACCCGAUGCAAACUGCGAAUACCGGAGAAUGUUAUCACGGGAGACACACGGCGGGUGCUAACGUCCGUCGUGAAGAGGGAAACAACCCAGACCGCCAGCUAAGGUCCCAAAGUCAUGGUUAAGUGGGAAACGAUGUGGGAAGGCCCAGACAGCCAGGAUGUUGGCUUAGAAGCAGCCAUCAUUUAAAGAAAGCGUAAUAGCUCACUGGUCGAGUCGGCCUGCGCGGAAGAUGUAACGGGGCUAAACCAUGCACCGAAGCUGCGGCAGCGAACGUAUCACCCAAGACAACUUUACGGAGUUGACGAUUGACGGAGCGAAGCGACGUCAAAGCGUUCAUUAAAGUCGAGUUGGCUUAGGGAUACGUUCGUUGGGUAGGGGAGCGUUCUGUAAGCCUGUGAAGGUGUGUCGUGAGGCAUGCUGGAGGUAUCAGAAGUGCGAAUGCUGACAUAAGUAACGAUAAAGCGGGUGAAAAGCCCGCUCGCCGGAAGACCAAGGGUUCCUGUCCAACGUUAAUCGGGGCAGGGUGAGUCGACCCCUAA